AGCUUUGCGCAGUGGCAGUAUCGUAGCCAAUGAAGUUUAUCCGAGGCGCGAUUAUUGCUAAUUGAAAAACUCUGUUACUUUUUUAAAUAUAUAUCUCCUUGGUAGAUUGAUUCUUUUAAAGAUGGUAAAAACUA
This is a non-coding RNA of Mustela putorius furo (domestic ferret), 134 nucleotides long. Lineage: Eukaryota; Metazoa; Chordata; Mammalia; Carnivora; Mustelidae. The record is from Rfam.